Molecule: long non-coding RNA, 573 nt
Organism: Homalodisca vitripennis (glassy-winged sharpshooter)
Lineage: Eukaryota; Metazoa; Arthropoda; Insecta; Hemiptera; Cicadellidae
Exons: 3
Source: RefSeq, a predicted model, not a curated record
UUAUAGAUCAUUAUUAACCACACACACACACACGUGCAGUACGCGUAUAUAAAGCACUGAAAACCCAAACUUGAAUUAUCCAACUAGCUUCGCUGUCUCUGACUGACCGAUUUUCCUUAGAGCUACGCUUCAGCAGUACAAACUGUUGACUCCUGAAGAUAAAAUGAAGAUAAUCUGUGGGUUCGUUGUCUUCACUCUCCUCUCUUCACCCUUAGUACUGGGAUUGCCACAGUUCUUGGACGAACCAGACCAGAGCGUUACGUUAGUUGUGGAACCAGACGCAUACAAAAAUCCACAGCUCAUUGACAUCCCAGAGCGCCCAACAACUCAGCCCAAAUGCCUUCCAUGGCAAAGAUAUGAUGGUUCCAUGUGCAGAGUUAUUUUUCCUUGAUCAAACAGACGUUGGAUAGUGUGAAGCUGCUGAGGAAUGUGCUGAACCACUUACCACCUGCUAUAAUUGUUCUGGACAUCUGGUUCUACCAUACCACUUCAAUCAUCCUACUGACUAUAUUUAAUGUGAUAAAUUGUACCUAACAAUAAACCAAUUGUAUCAUUGGAAUUUCUCACACAUAA